UACGGAGGAUGCAAGCGUUAUCCGGAAUGAUUGGGCGUAAAGCGUCCGCAGGUGGCUAUGUAAGUCUGCUGUUAAAGAGUGAGGCUCAACCUCAUAAGAGCAGUGGAAACUACAUAGCUAGAGUGCGUUCGGGGCAGAGGGAAUUCCUGGUGUAGCGGUGAAAUGCGUAGAUAUCAGGAAGAACACCGGUGGCGAAAGCGGCAUCCUGGACCAACACUGACGCUGAGGAGCGAAAGCCAGGGGAGCAAACGGG
Molecule: ribosomal RNA, 253 nt
Filed under: uncultured bacterium
Lineage: Bacteria
Description: partial 16S ribosomal RNA
Rfam family: Bacterial small subunit ribosomal RNA
Source: RNAcentral